Molecule: ribosomal RNA, 51 nt
Filed under: Diaporthe sp. HLJYC013
Lineage: Eukaryota; Fungi; Ascomycota; Sordariomycetes; Diaporthales; Diaporthaceae
Description: partial 28S ribosomal RNA
Source: RNAcentral
GGAUCAGGUAGGAAUACCCGCUGAACUUAAGCAUAUCAAAGGGGCGGAGGA